UAACUCUUGUAAGCUAUAUAAGCUGUUAAGUUCAUACCUUAAAAAAGGUCUAUUCCCGUGAGUUUUUGUUUUCAUACAAACCCUCCCAAGAGUAUAAAACCAUGGACAAACCUCCAGAUUUGAAAGUUUUCUAUAGCCGGCAAAAAUACACAGCGAGGCUAAAUGCGUGCCAGCAACCGCGGAUAUACGCACUGCGCAUGAUGAUAUAUAUAUCGUUAAUAGAUCGAACAGAAGGUAAUAUUUAUAAAGUAAAAAGGCUGGUGAUGUGAAGGAGGCUAGAUAGCUCCGUAAUACAGUUAAACAUAUUUGAGCAGUUAAAAACUUAGAAAACCUGGCAGAAGCAUAACAAAAAGGCUCUUUGAAGUAUAGAUAACCCGCUAUGUUGCUAAAGUUUAUAAAUAGUGUAUUGCUGAUACGGUACUCUUACCGGAGGGCCGACACCUCAAGCCUUAAUGCUUUUACUUAGUGAUUGUUUGAGAGAUUUAGAUUUUAAAGUAAUACGAUUUUACAGAUUUUUAUUAGCUUUGUACAUAUUGCCCGUCACCUCGUCUACCACAGAUGAGAAAGUCGACACAUAGUAGGUGUAGUGGAAAUUGCACCUUUCCACAUACUGAACGCACACCCGGACAAAAUUCACAUGCGGUGAGGGCCGCCGAAUAAUUACGCCGGCUGCAAA
Molecule: ribosomal RNA, 676 nt
Filed under: Parasagitta elegans
Lineage: Eukaryota; Metazoa; Chaetognatha; Sagittoidea; Aphragmophora; Sagittidae
Description: 12S ribosomal RNA
Source: RNAcentral